Molecule: ribosomal RNA, 497 nt
Filed under: uncultured bacterium
Lineage: Bacteria
Description: partial 16S ribosomal RNA
Rfam family: Bacterial small subunit ribosomal RNA
Source: RNAcentral
GAUGAACGCUGGCGGCGUGCCUAAUACAUGCAAGUCGAGCGAACAGACGAGGAGCUUGCUCCUCUGACGUUAGCGGCGGACGGGUGAGUAACACGUGGAUAACCUACCUAUAAGACUGGGAUAACUUCGGGAAACCGGAGCUAAUACCGGAUAAUAUAUUGAACCGCAUGGUUCAAUAGUGAAAGACGGUUUUGCUGUCACUUAUAGGUGGAUCCGCGCCGCAUUAGCUAGUUGGUAAGGUAACGGCUUACCAAGGCAACGAUGCGUAGCCGACCUGAGAGGGUGAUCGGCCACACUGGAACUGAGACACGGUCCAGACUCCUACGGGAGGCAGCAGUAGGGAAUCUUCCGCAAUGGGCGAAAGCCUGACGGAGCAACGCCGCGUGAGUGAUGAAGGUCUUCGGAUCGUAAAACUCUGUUAUUAGGGAAGAACAAAUGUGUAAGUAACUAUGCACGUCUUGACGGCACCUAAUCAGAAAGCCACGGCUAACUACGUG